RNAcentral lists this non-coding RNA (30 nucleotides) under Mus musculus (house mouse). Lineage: Eukaryota; Metazoa; Chordata; Mammalia; Rodentia; Muridae. The record is from RNAcentral.
UGCUCUUGUUGUUCUUGUUGUUUGCCUCUC